This 2334-nucleotide long non-coding RNA is filed under the name Homo sapiens (human). Its description in RNAcentral is "HSALNT0379424". Lineage: Eukaryota; Metazoa; Chordata; Mammalia; Primates; Hominidae. The record is from RNAcentral.
AUCUUGAGAGGCCCGAGCAGACAAAGCGACCCCAUUGUUUUGGGUGACGGCAGACGGGGACCCCUUUCCCCUCCCCGCGACCAGGAGCGGGGCGCCCUGGGGGCUCCGGGCCGGGCAGUGGGUGUGGCGAGGGCGAGCCCCGGGCGCCGCGCCGGCCUCUGCGGGGCGUCUGCGGCCCUGGGGACCCGGCCGGCGGGACGUCUGCGGCCGCCGGGCUCUGCCCAUCCAGGGGUCAUCUGCAGCUGCCGGGCUCCUCCCAUCCCGGGGACAUCUGCGACCCCGGAGGACCUGGCAGGCCCUGCAUUCCGCGAGGCCUGGCUCUGGCGACCCUGCCCUCCGCGGCCCCGCACCUUUGAGCGUGGAGCGCUCCACCAGCACCGUGUGGACCUGCGGGUCCGAAAGGAACUUGCGCAUCUGCUCCAGGGCGCUCUUCUCCUCCAGCGCCGCCUCCAGCGCGGCCGGCGCCUCGCCGCCGUCCUCCAGCAGCAGCGGCACCAGCUUGCGCAGGUGCUUCUGCAGCACCGACACGUCCGCCACAUUCUGCACGGCCGACACUUCCAAUCCGGCCGAGCCGUCCUCGCCGCCGCCGCCCCCGGGCUCCGACAUGGUGUCGCGCUCGGGACCUUCCAGGAGCGAUGAGAAGGCGGCCGCGACUCAGCGAGACAGCCAGCAAGAGACAGAAACGGCCGCCGGAAGCCGGACCGUCCGCUAGCCCACCGCAGACUGAGGAGAGCGGGAGCCGGCUCCGCCCUAAAGGCAGCCACUGCCAGGUGGCCCCGCCCCGCCCCGCCGGCCGCAGCCGCCGCAGCCACCCGCGCUCGCUCGCGGCCUUAGCGUCACGGCGCCGCGCGUGCGCGGGGGGCGGGCCCGGCGAUGUCGCCGCGCGCCCUUCUGGGACUUGUAGUCUCGGCGCUGGUCGGGGCCCGCAGCCUCCGCACUGCGAGUCCUAGGAGAUGGGGACUUGGCUCAACGUCCUGGCUCGGCGCCCGGGCUUGGCGAGGAGCAUGUGGAAGAGGGGACAGAUGAAUACCCCAUCUUCCUGCUCUCCAUCAGUCCGCCCUGGUGUGAUGUGCCUAAGCAGUUCCGAGUAAUCUUCCUGGAAAAAAUAAAUAGGCAACUGCGAUGAGUUUGUGCAAGGAUCCUAAUGGUAAUGAAUAAUAAUAACACACCACUGACAGCGAACGCUGAGUGUUCACUGCGUGCUAGGCACCAUGCAGAGGGUUUCCCCUCACAUGUACUUUAGGGGUAGAAAGAGGGACAAAGAGGAAAGUCUAUUAGGUGCAGAUCUGUGAACUCUGAAUAGGCCAUCCACCAUCUGAGACUCAGAAACCUGCAGGGACCUGGCCGAUGGGCAGGCUGCAUGCUGGCUGCACCAUGAGUCAGCACCAGACUGGGAGACGCAGCCACUCAGGGAUCCAAGGGACUCAAACAUCUGCAACCUGGCCCCAGGCCAAGAGAACAAACUGCAGGCUCCGGAUUUGCGGCCCUGUAGGAUAGGCUCAAAAUGAAACAUGUUUGUUAUUUCUAAGUGGAUGGGAACUGAAAGAACCCGAACAAUCAGUGUACAAGGAUUCAUGAAUGGACCAAACAUGCUUGCUUUUUGUUCUUGAAAGAUGUUUGUUGUAUUUAAUAUAUAACGAGAAGAGUGGUCAACGCUGACUGGGUGCUGAGCACUUUAAGUGCAUUACCUGGGUGGCUGGCUGGGCUGUGCCAGGGUUGAAGGGUGUGGGGAGCUUCUUUCAAGGUGCCCCUUCUGCCUCCUGGCACAGGACUCUGGCUCCAGCACACCCCAAGCUGACCCUGGUGGGGGUAGGGCCCCUCACCCAAACCUGGCCUCUCCCGUCUCUUGUUCUGCUGCCUCAGCUUUCUCCUGUCUGUGGUAGAGUCUGCUUGGACAGACUCUGGGCAGGGCAGGGGGCAGGGCAAGCUGGAGAGAGAAUUCGUUCUAGGUUGAUGUGGGAUGAUAGUGGCUGGUAGGGCGCUUGUAUCCUAUUGGAAAUCCAUGAUGAGAUCCCAUUCAUUCCCACCCUUCUCUUAACAAUGUCUCCUUAAGUCCAAGUCUCAAGUCGGGUGCCCAGUUUCAUACCAUCCUUCCUCUCCCUCUCACAACCUUCGGGCAGGACCAACCCCCUCAGAGGAACCCCUGCUGCCCCAGCCCUUUCAGGCUCUGUGCCCAGGAUCUCCCCUCCACUCCCUGGAAAUUCCACAUUUGGCCAGGUGUGGUGGUGCACACCCUUGUUCCCAGCUACUCAAAAGGUUGAGGUGGAGGUCGAGGCUGCAGUGAGCUGUGAUCUCACUACUGCACUCCAGCCUGUGCAAGAGAGUGAGACCCCG